This 504-nucleotide ribosomal RNA is filed under the name uncultured bacterium. Its description in RNAcentral is "partial 16S ribosomal RNA". It matches the Rfam family "Bacterial small subunit ribosomal RNA", at positions 28 to 523 of the family's 1533-position model. The record is from RNAcentral.
GAUUAACGCUGGCGGCAUGCCUAACACAUGCAAGUCGGACGGUAGCACAGAGAGCUUGCUCUUGGGUGACGAGUGGCGGACGGGUGAGGAAUGUCUGGGGAUCUGCCCGAUAGAGGGGGAUAACCACUGGAAACGGUGGCUAAUACCGCAUAACGUCGCAAGACCAAAGGGGGGGACCUUCGGGCCUCUCACUAUCGGAUGAACCCAGAUGGGAUUAGCUAGUAGGCGGGGUAAUGGCCCACCUAGGCGACGAUCCCUAGCUGGUAUGAGAGGAUGACCAGCCACACUGGAACUGAGACACGGUCCAGACUCCUACGGGAGGCAGCAGUGGGGAAUAUUGCACAAUGGGCGCAAGCCUGAUGCAGCCAUGCCGCGUGUAUGAAGAAGGCCUUCGGGUUGUAAAGUACUUUCAGCGGGGAGGAAGGCGGUGAGGUUAAUAACCUUGCCGAUUGACGUUACCCGCAGAAGAAGCACCGGCUAACUCCGUGCCAGCCGCCGCGGUAA